AUGUCUGCACGUGUCGUUCCACGGGAAAUGUUUGGUGCCGUGUCUGGGCCUGUGGCCGGGGCGCGUCUGGCUCGUGUCGCGUCUCUUUAACUGUGAGGCACACGCUCUGAUCUCCCGGCUAGCACGGAGGGGGCCCUGGCCUCCGCCUGGUCGCUGGAAUGGAACCGGCCGUGGGGGGCACGAGGGCGGGGGUCCACGGGCUGGUCCACAGCCCGUCACAUCCUGGAGGGAGGCUCUGGGCCCUUUGCCUCCGUCCCCCGCUUCUCACGGGCCGCUAUUUCCUCUGUGUUUCCUGAAGCCCCACAGGCCUUUCCGGUGUCAGGUCCCCCAGGAUUUCCCGGCAGACCCGAGCUCACCGGUCUGGAGCCUCGGGCACUGGAUCUGGAGGGUCCGGAAUCCCCGUAGCUGUGGCUCUCACAUCUUUGCUCACCCGGCGCCCACCCGCCCGGACCGUCUGGGGAGGGUCUCCGCCUCUGCCCUUUCCCUGGGGAGGCCGCACCUGGGGCCCUCCGGGAGAACCGGGGGCAUGGUGCCCACUGUGACCACGGACCUCGCCAAGCAGGACGCCCGGAGCCCGUGGACACGCCGUGCCUGGCUGUGCUGGACGGGCUUCUCCUUUCGCUGGAAUGGAAAGGAUGACGUUAGGCUGAACUGAGUGGCCCCGAAAUUGACAGAGUCGAACCGGAGCUCAAAUGUGGAAAGAGAAAAAGAGAAAGAGGAAAAGCCUGCUUUGGAGGAUCCAGAAUAAUAUCCCCGAACUCCGUCAGUAACGGCACUAAGUCCCGAACCAAGCCAGCAGCAAAACCCGCAAUGCGGAACGCUGGCAGUCCGGGGUCAGACCAGACUGAGAUGCCGCGAACCGAGAAGCCGUGCGGGGCCCUUCCAAUAAAAACGUCGAGGACGUCA
RNAcentral lists this long non-coding RNA (906 nucleotides) under Felis catus (domestic cat). RNAcentral describes it as "lncRNA (ENSFCAG00000043094.2)". The record is from RNAcentral. Lineage: Eukaryota; Metazoa; Chordata; Mammalia; Carnivora; Felidae.